This is a non-coding RNA of Arachis ipaensis, 419 nucleotides long. NCBI's taxonomy places the organism in Eukaryota, Viridiplantae, Streptophyta, Magnoliopsida, Fabales, Fabaceae. The record is from RefSeq and is a predicted model, not a curated record.
UUUAAAGUUUUUGAUGUAUUUAAUAAGUUCCCUGGUCGCCAGAAGAUUAUUAUUAGCAGGAAGUGGGGAUUCACCAAGUUCAGCCGAGCUGACUAUCUGAAGUUUAAGCAGGAAAAUAGGAUUAUGCCUGAUGGUGUGAAUGCAAAGCUUCUUGGGUGCCAUGGACCAUUGGCUAACCGUCAACCUGGAAGAGCAUUUUUGCAAACCAGUGCUACUGCUUAGUUAUAUAGUCUAUUUAUCUGGGAAAUAGGAGACUUUGGACAAUAAUAGUUUUGAAAUAGUCGUGUGUUGCUUUCCCUUUCAAUUGUCUUAAAACUAAGUUGGUUUAUUGCUGUUUUACAUCAAAUACCUCGAGUGGAAUUGUUAUUAAGUCCUAUUUUGGUAAUUUUGAUGAUCCACUUAUGUUUAUUUUUUGUUUA